GCUCGUUGCCCCUGCGUACGCCAGAGUCCUACCCCCUUGCUGGAAGUGCAGUGUUUGGUUCGAAAGUUCUGUUAUUUGGGACACAAAUCUGACCGGCAACAACCUCACCCAUAAAAAUGAAAAAGAAGCAGUUCCAGAUGGACGCCAUGGAAGUUCACUGCUGCUGCUAGUCAUGCCUGGACUCUUGGCGGUGCCACUCUGAACUCCAGCUCUCUGCA
This is a long non-coding RNA of Lolium rigidum, 218 nucleotides long. RefSeq lists it as uncharacterized. The transcript is spliced from 3 exons. The record is from RefSeq and is a predicted model, not a curated record. NCBI's taxonomy places the organism in Eukaryota, Viridiplantae, Streptophyta, Magnoliopsida, Poales, Poaceae.